This 9877-nucleotide long non-coding RNA is filed under the name Octopus vulgaris (common octopus). The record is from RNAcentral. Lineage: Eukaryota; Metazoa; Mollusca; Cephalopoda; Octopoda; Octopodidae.
AUUUUUUUUUAUAUCAAUUGUUUUUAUUUUUUCGCAAUUCUCAAAAAAAAAAAAAAAAAAAGAAAAACAUGGCACAGAUCACAGAUUACUGAUUCUUGUUAAACUCUCCAGAUUUAUAAGACGAAAAAAGAAAACUGAUUUUGAAAAUUAAUAUAAUUCAAAAAAAUUAAAUUACAUUAAAAUAAAAAUCGAACCCUCUUUCAAAAUGAAUAUUAAAUUCAUUAUGGUCUUUUUUUUUUAAUAUAAACAAGAUUAUUUCAUUAUGUAUGACAUUUGGAAUUUUCUGUUGUUUCUGGAGAUAAAAAUUUGGUCCAAUUGUCAAAGACAAAAAAAAAAAAAGUAAAAUAAUUCACUGGAGGAAAUUGUCUUUUAAUGAGCACCAGAAAAAGGUUAGGAAUUUAGGAGAGAAAGAAGAGAAGAAUUUAAUUUACAACGAGGAUGUGCAGGUGUGGCCUUAUGGUUAAGAGGUUUGCUUUCCAAUCAUAUGGUUUCAGUUUCUAUUCUACUCUGUGGCACUUUGGGAAAGUGUCUUCUGCUAGAGCCCCUGGCCAACCUUUGAAAUAUUGUGAGUUGAUUUGGUAGAUGGAAACUGAAAGAAUCCUAUUUUGUGUGCGUCUCCUUGUCUUGACAUUGCAAACAAAUGUCACUGUCGUACAAACAGUAUCAUUCACUUCCAAUAUUUUGUGAGAGCAUGUCUGGUCACAGAGAAAAUAUCAUCUUCCUUGGAAACUAGUGAGGGUUGGUGACAAGAACCUUAUCUGGUCCUAGAAAAUUUACCUCAAUAAACUCUGCCAACAAAUGUAAGCAAAGAAAGCAGCCAUUAAAACAAUGAUAUUCCUACAUGGAAAGAACUCUUUUUAUUUUUGGAAAAAUGUACAAGACGUUUCUGCCAUUUCCAAAAAAAUGCCUCACCAACCACACGUAGUCACAAAGAAUAAAAAAUGGUUACUUUAUAAAACCUUCCUGUUACGGUUAGUUCCAUGUCAGCCCCAAUUGAGCAGAUCUAUGAUACAAGAUAUUCUGUUCGUGGCCAUCUUAUAAUUAAUUUUUCAGGCAUAGUGUAUCUAGGACUACAUUAACAAAUAUAUCCAUCCCAUUUUUAUGAUGGUCGGUUGUGACUUAAUAGAGAUUUGGUGGGUUUUUUCUAGCAGAGUGAACAAUCAGAUAACUAGGAUGUUUAUAUCUAGUGUGAAAGAAAACUAGUGUUAGGAGUAUUAAUUCUAAUAAAAACGGAGAAUAAUAAAGUUGCGGGAAACAUUUGAUUAAGUUGACUCCAGUAUAUACCUGGUACUUCAUUGUAUUGACCCUGGAAGAAUGAAAGGUAAAACGUGACUAUGGCAGGAUUUGAAGUCAGUGAGAUAAACGCUGUGAGGAUAUUUUGUCAUUCUUCAGAUUCUGUUGUCUCCACCUUUCAAUAAGAAUAAUUCUUUCUACUGUAUGCACAGAGCCUGAAAUUUUGAGGGGAGGGGGCUAGUGAGGGUGUUAGUUGGUUAUAUCAAUCUCUAGUAAUCAAAUGGUACUUUUUCUUAUCAACCUUGAAAGGAUGAAAGGCAAAGUCAACCUAGGUGGAAUUUGAAAUCAGAAUGCAAAGAUGAAUGAGACACCACUAAACAUUUUGUCUUGCAUGCUACCGAUUCCACCAGCUGAAAGCCUUAACAAUAAUAAUGCUAGUUUUAAAUAUUUUAAUAAGGUAUGGAGGUAAAUCUGUAUUAGAGAGAGAAGAAAUAUGAAUUUGCAAGCUUCAUGUUUUUUUCCAAAAAUUUAACUCUUUUAUUAUAUUUCUGUUGAAAUGCUCUGUGUUUCUUUCAAUUAAUUUUAAAUAUAACAAAGAAUUUAGUAAAAUAACUUAGUUAUCAUUAAGCUAGUGUUAGGAACAUAAAUUGUGACUAAGGUUUGGUGGAAGACUUUAACUCAGAAAUUUUGAAAACAAGACAUUUGUACAACAGACCCAGAGGCAAUUUCAGCCAGGUUGGUGUCAAAAGGGUUAAGGAUUGUUUCUCUAUUAUAUAUUUUGACCCUUUUGUUACCAUUAUUUCUGUUGAGAUGCUCUGUGUUUCUUUCUAUCAAUUUUAAAUAUGACAAAGAAUUUAGUAAAAUAACCUAGUUAUCAUUAAGCUAGUGUUAGGAACAUAAAUUGUGUUUGGUGGAAGAUUUUAAUUCAGAACUUUAGAGCCAGAGGCAAUUUCAGCUGGGUUGGUAUCAAAAGGGUUGAAGAAUAAAAGAUAUGACCUUACGACCUCAGAGAAGAUGAAAUGGAAUAAGCUUCAAGUGAAAAUUGAAACUUGACUCCUAAGAACAGAUUCUACCAAACCUUGUCUUGUGCUCAAAGUAAUUUCACAUCCAAAAUAAUUUUAAAUAAAAAAAAAAAAAAAAAAAGAGGAAAGGAAAAAAAAAUCUGUGCCCAGCCCUUAAUUUCUUCCUUCCCUGUUGUAUUUGACAAUGAGGAGUUGGCACCCGGCUCAGGGGUGGCACAUGAGGACAACACAUUGAGGAAACAAUAAUAAAUAAAUUAACAGGACAUUUCGUUUUAUUCCAUGCAUCUUUUGUUGUUUUUAAUACAAUGAUGAUGAUGAUAAUGAUGAUGAUAGCUGUACGUAUGUAAGUACACAUAUACAUUAUAGAUAUGUGUGUGUAUGUUUAUAUUUUUGUGAUUGCUUGUGUGUGUGUGUGUGUGUGUGAAUGAACUCAACAUUUGAAAGACAACAUUAUCAAAAUGGACGAUGUUAAGAGACAAUUUAUACAAUUGUUUUAUUACAAGCUUGUUUGUCUGUGAGUGUGUAUGUGCGUGGAUUUAUAUACACACAUGUAUACUAUAUACAAUGAAUGAAUAGUAUUUACACAAGUGUGUGCUACUAUGUGUAUGCAUAUAUAUAUAUAUAUAUAAACACACACACAUAUUUUAUAAUAGAUUUUAGUUACUAUUCUAAUACCAAAGGUUUCCUGCUGAUGAAAAUCAGCAAUUUUUCAACCAUAAUUCAAAACAGAAAUGAUACUGCUAUUAUUAAUGCUGUAUGUAUAUUUCUGUGUAUGUGUGAGUGUGUGUAUAUAUACAUAUAUAUACAUAUAUAUAUAUAUAUAUAUAUUUACAUAAAUACACACACACACACACCCAUAUUUGUACAUAUAUAUAAAUGUGUGUCUGAGUGUAUAUAACAUAUACAAACAUAAGCAUUAUCAUACAGUUGAAUUUGAAAUAUAUAUGUAUGUAUAAUUAUGUAAGCAUAGUAAGAAUUUAUAAUAUGUGUGUGCGUGCAUAUAAUUAUAUAAAUGUGUGUGCAUGCAUAUAUGUUAUAUAUAUAUAGGUGUGUGUGUAAAUAAUACAAGCCUCAUCAUGCAUUUUUGUUGGAUAAAGAUACUAGUGUCUGUGUAAUCAGAUAUAUAACACAUACACACACACACAUAUAUAUAUAUAUACACUGUUCUGUUUGAUAAAUAUAUAACACUCACUCGUGUGUGUAUAAAUAUGUAAGCAUACCAACAAAGUUAUGAACAUUUAUUUUAUUUACAUCAAUAUCCAAGAUUAUAUAAUAAUAUAAAAUAUAUAUUGUUAUAUACAAUGAGUGUAACAUUAUAUAUAUAUUAUAUAUAAUUACAAUAAUAUAUUAUUUGUAUAUUAUGUAUAAUGUAUAUAUAUAUAUAUAAUGAUAUAGUGUGCGUGUUUGUGUUGAGGGGAGGGGAACCCAAGGAAUGUGAUUGUUUCAACAAGAAAAAUGUUGUUUAGGGAUAGUGAUCUUGAAUAGUAUAUACAUAUAUAUAUAUUUAUAUAAGAUAUAUGUAUGUAUAAAAUCUUUUCUGCUUUUAGUUCAUGAGAAAAUUAUUUUGUACCAAAAGAAACGAAUAUAUGAGCAGUUUUCUAGAAAAAUCUAAGUUUUUAAAUACAUUUCAUACUGGAAAAUAUUUCAACAUGCAACUUCCUGUUCAAAAUCUAACAAUCAGCUUUGAAAAUAAUCCUAAGAGAUAGACAGAUAUAGUGAGUAGAGAUCUAUCUAUAUGUCUAUUUAUCUAUCAAUCUAUCUAUCUGUAUAUACAUACAUUUAUAUAAGCUACAUAGUAGCAAGCUAAUUUCCGUAAGAGUCAUUUUAUUAUUUCUUCUCAGAUUUCACAGUUGUGUGCAGUUUCUUCUUUUAGACAUUAACAUGCAAAUUUUUGGCCAAACCCAUUAUGUUUGGGUGUACACGGAAGUGAAUGUUCUACAGCCCAAGCAUACCACAGUACCUACAUUUUAUAAGGAGUUACCAAACUAUAUUAGAUAAAAGUUUACAAAUCUACCAUACGGUCUAGUUUCACUACCCAAAUGUUUUUUAAUAAUAGUAAUGGUUUCAAAUUUUGACCCAAGGUCAGCAAAUUUAGGGGUGGAGAAGGGGUUAGUAAAUUUACAUCAUCCUCAGUGCUCAAUUGCUACUUAUUUUAACGACCCUGAAAGGACAAUAAGCAAAAUUAAACUUUUGGUGGGAUUUGAACUCAGAGUGUAAAGAGCUGGAAGAAGUACUACAAGGCAUCUUAUCUGAUGGGCUAACAAUACUGAUAGCUUGCUGCCUCAACAAUAAUAGCAAAAAUAAGGGUUUCAAAUUUUGGCGCAAGGCCAGCAAUUUUGGGGGUGGAGGUAAGUCAAGUACUUUGACCCCUGUGCUCAACUGGUACUUAUUUCAUUGACCUCAAAAGCAUGAAAGGCUAAGUUGACCCCAACAGAAUUUGAACACUGAAUGCAAAGAUGGACAAAAUGCUGCUAAGCAUUUCAUCCAGUGUGGUAAUGAUUCUCCCAGCUCACCACCUGUAUAAUUAAUAAAUAAUUAAAUAUAACGAUGUUCUUUGGAAUUGGUAAAGUUGCACACACACACACAAAAUAAAAGUCAGCAAAAAAAAAAAAAAACACUCAAAAUCUGAGCACAGAGAGAAAAUUUUCAAGAACCCCCCAUGUCUAUAAUUUCAACUACAAUAAUUAAACUAAAUAAAGCUAAUUAAGAGUAAUUGUACACCAGGGGAUAAUGGAAAAUAGCUAUUAUCUUUUAUGGGGUGCAUGGGGUGUGAGUAAGGCAGACCUCUGACAGGGAACACAUGGUGCUCUUUGGAGUAGUUUGGUAGUUUGUCUGCUUUGGUCAUCACCUGACACACAGUUUGUCUCCCUAUGCAUGUGAAGACUGGGCCCAAAAGACUGCGCAGAGGAAACCCUAGAUAAUCAUCUUAAAUCUAGAAUUAUUUUGAGGAUGAAAAUGAAGGUAUGGCUGAUAUGAAGAAAAAACUGGGUUCAAAUCUGACAGUCAAUUGGGAGCAAAAUUCAUUUAAUAUUUAUUUAAUUUAAAUUUUAAAUUUCAAAUUCAUAAACCAAAAAAAAAAAACUGAGAUGGUGAUUUUCAUAAAAAGCAAAUUGGCAAUAAAAAAAAGACCCUGAAGUGGUGUUUUUUUUAAUGCUUUUUAUAAAAACUGAUAAUUCUUUGAACUGGAAAAAUGGAAAUAUGAAUUUGGUAUUUUGAAAUUAAAUCAAAAUUUUUUUUUUAAAUCAAAUUUUUAUCAGAAGUUAAUUUAAUUUGGAUUUACAGUUUUUAAAUUAAUAUUUUAUCUCCUUGUAAUUUAAUUCAAAUCUGUAUUGUAAUUUCACUUUAAAAAAAUGACUUUUGAUUUGAAUUUUUAUUUAUUUUUUUUCUGUUGGUCAUAAUUUAAAUUCAUGAAAAUUCUCUCAAUUUUAUAAAUUUGAAAUUUCAAACAGGAAAAUUAAAAUACUGAGAAGAAUUUUUGAUCCAAACCACAAAACUGGCCAGCAGCAGCACCACCAACACAACUAACGACACCUAGUGUCAAACAAGAGAAAUAAAUGCACCAGUGCACUAUUACUUGUGCAUCAGCUGCAAGUGGCAACAAUCCUAAGCAAAUAAAAAUUCUGGUUUUUCAUGAAUCUAUUCCUACAGAUUCUUUUUCAUGAAUCUACUAAUUCUUCCACAGGCACAACAAGAACUUUUAAAGGAGAGGAUAUUUAAUUAACACCAAAAACAUCACAAGACUUGUUUAAAUAAACCCCAGAAGGUUAAAAAUCAAAAGCUGACCUCAGUAGGACUUGAACCUAGAACCUUGAAACAAAAACUUAAAUCCUGGUAUAAGGCAUACAUCUAGUCCAGAUGCACCACAGUCACUACUUUGGUUUAGAUACUUUCACAAGACAGACUUUAAAAGUGAGGAAGAACCAUUAACAAAGUCUAUGACUUUCUUCGAUAUACUAUGGGGACAAUAUUAUAAAUGUGUGUGUGUAUGUGUGUGUGAUUUGAGCAAAUGAAAUAUAAGUUAAUAGCUGCUAUUUCCUUCACAGCCUUCAUCGUUUGCCCUUACAACCUAUCUUAUGUAAAAACUAAUGUCACUUAAAACUUAUUGAUUAAAUUACAAUGUGGGGGUUAGGGGUAAGUUUUAGGAUCUUGUAUUGAACAACUUUCGUUUUUUUGUUUUGUGAUGGAGAAUGGGCAGAUGAAAACAUAAAAAAAAAGCACAGAAGAGGGCUCCAGGUUUACCAUUAACCAGAGGAUGUGGUCCCUAUUAGAUACUUAUUUCCUAUAUAUUUCUAGUUUAGUAUGUAUACAUAUAUAAUAGUGGAUGUGUAUGUAUAUAUAUAUAUAUAAAAAUUAGAAAACACCACCUUUUAUCAAUUCAAUUUGUGAAAUUUGAUUUAGUAUUUCUAAAUUGAAUUUUUCCCUGUAAGUUUGGAAUAAUAUUCCCUCAAAUUAUUAUUAUUAUAUAUAUAUUAUAUAUAGAUAUAUAUGCAUGCCUGUUUAAGAUGAAUGCAAAUAACAGAUAUUUUAAUAUAAUUCAUUCUUUAUAGAAAUAGUUGGAGGGCAGAUAAAAUACAUACAAAUACACACACACUUUCUUUCUCUUACACACACACACACUCUACUUCAAAUAUUAGUCUUUCAUUUUUUAAAGUGCAUGCUCUGAUUAUAAAUACCAGCAGUUACCACUCAUAAAUUUUCCAUGAGGUAUGGGGGCCUCAAGGGACAGCUAUUCUCAAACAUCACAAGGAAAACGAAAACAAAGGUUUUAGUUUCUAGGCCCUGGCUGAAGAGAAAGAGAGAGAAAGAACUUGGUAAAUAAGAUAUAGCUGCUUAUAAUAAAUUGAAUGAUUAUGUGUGUGUGUGUGUGUUGAUGUAAACGGAAAGUAAAACUCAAAAUAGAAUUGGGUGUGCAUUCUUUUAUUCUUCUACUCGUUUCAGUCAUUUGACUGCAGCCAUACUGGAGCACCACCUUUAGUCGAACAAAUUGAUCCCAGGACUUAUUCUUUAUAAGCCUAGUACUUAUUCUGGCAGAGGUAAAAACAAUCUUUGGGAUUUUUUUUUUUUAUUUUUCUUUUACAGGAACCCACUAUAUCAAGUGCAGAGAUUCCGAAUCUGCAAAAAAAUUUGCAUUUCAAAAUUUAUCCCCCACCCCAACAAAUUUCUUAAAUUUUCACUUUUUUAAAAGUUUUUUUUUUUGGCGAAACACAGAAAAAUACGGAGAUUAUGAUUCAGAAGGAAAAAAAAAAAUUCUGUAAAAUUUCAAUUUUUCAAAAAAAAAAAAAAAAUAAAGACCCCUUCCCCUCCGUUCUAUGACAAGAAGUGAAAUUUAAGUAUUUUCCCAACGAUUGUUUCAUGAUGAACAUACCCAACAUGUUGUGGUCAGGGUCUUUUGGAAUUAAGAGAUUUUGUAAAAAUUAGACUUUUUGCUCACACACAUGCAACAAAAUGACAUUUAAAAUAAUUUUUUUUUGUAAUUCGUAUUUAGAAAGUUGAUCCUCGGUUUCACUGUUGUUUCUAACUUGUCAGAUUUCCGGUUGGGGAGGAUUUAAAUUUUGAAAAUUUUUCUUUGGUAAUUCAUAUUAAAAUUUUGAAAACAUGUUUCUAGCAUGUCAGGUUUUCUGCUUAGAUACUUUUUGCGUCUGCUAUUUUAUAAUUCAAUGCAUGUGUGAAACAUUAGUAGAGAAAACACUUUAAUUUCACUUCUUGGCAGAGGGGAGGGUGUGGGUUCAUCUACUUUUUUUUUUUUUUGAAAAACUGAAUUUUACAAAAUUUUUAUUUUCCAAAAUCAUAAUCUCCGUAUUUUUCUGUGUAUUUUGCCAGAAAAAAAUUUUUAAAGUGAAAAUUUAAGAAACUUGGGUGGUGGUGUAUGGAAUUAAUAUUUUAAAAUGUAGAUUUUUUUUCAGAUUCGGAAUCUCUGCAUUUGACAUAGUGGGGUUCCUGUAGAAAAGGAAAAAAAAAAAAAAAUUUCCCAAGGGGGGUGCGGUACAUUGCUGUUACCUCCACCCUCAUUCUAUUGGUCCCUUUUGCUGAACCGCUAAGUGACAGGGACAUAAACACACUAACAUCAGUUGUCAAGUGAUAGUUGGGGGACAAACACACACACAUAUAUAUAUAUAUAUAUAUAUGUGAUAGGCUUCUUUCAGUUUCCGUCUACCGAAUCCACUCACAAGGCUUUAGUCAGCCCGAGGCUAUAGUAGAAGACACCUGUCCAAGGUGCCACGCAGUGGGACUGAACCCAGAACCAUGUGGUUGGGAAGCAAGCUUCUUACCACACUGCCACUCCUGCACCUAUGUAUGUAGAUAUAUAUAUAUAUAUAUAUAUAUAUAUAUAUACACACACACACACAACCAAAAGAUUAUCUAUUUAAAAAGCAAAGUAAAGUAAGAAUAAAAAUUUUUUUUCAAAAAAUAUUAUUUGUGUGGGAAUAAAUGUUAUUUUUACAUAAUAGUGGUUGUGGUGGUGCAAAGUUUGCAGCCCACCCUGAUGAGAAGAAGAGAGCCAUAUUCAGGUGUGAGAAGUGUUCCCAAUUUGUGGUAACCACACCCAAGUUAAGGUUUUAUAAGUGCAUACAUUUAUGGCAAUUAUAUGCUCACACCCACAUGUGUGGGAAUAUAUAUGUGCAUAUAUGUAUGUAUACAUACAUGUUUGCAUAUACAUAUAAUGCAUAUAAAUAAGAUACAUACAUACAUAUAUAUAUAUUUCUGUGUAAGUUUAGAUGAGUAUAUUAUCCAGGUGGAUACUGUAGUAGCUCUCAGUUAUGUUCCAGGUUAUGGCUAACUACAUUGUUUAAUUGACUAGUAAAAUAAAAGGAAACAAAUUCUGAGGAGGUACCAGUCUCCAUAUUUUCUAUCAUAAUAAUUAUUGCAUACAUACAUAUAUCAUCAUCGUUGUUUAACGUCCACUUUCCAUGCUGGCAUGGGUCUUUUAUUUGCUUCAGUCAUUGGAGUGCAGUCAUGUUGGAGUACCACACUGAAGGCAUUGGUAAAAAAAAAUUGACCCGAGACCUUAUUUUAAAAAAUCCUAUUGGUCACUUUUGCCAAACCACCAAGUCGUUUUAAUGUGUAUUUUUUAAUGUAUAUUACUUAAUAUAGAAAUUUUUUAGUAAAAUGUUAAUAAUAAUAUAUCUAAAUUUAUAUAUCUUUCAGUAUUAAUUGAAUUACUUUAUGGUGGUUCUAUCUCUUAAUUAUAUAUAUAUAUAUAUAUAUAUAUAUAUAUAUAUAUGUGUGUGUGUGUGUGUGUGUGUUCGCCUGCAUAGCUCGGUAGAGCAUCAGACUUUUAUGAUAUAUAUAUAUAAUUUUAUACAAGGCAAACAAGUGUAAAGGAAAUUUUGCUACACAAAUUGAAAGCUUGCCAAAAGCCAUAUCAUUUAACAGAAUAUUGUUUGUCGGUUUGAAUUAUCUCAAGUAUUUGGACACAAGCACAAUACCUAAUACACACAUUUUAUAAAUAUAUGAGUUUAUGUUUUGUAAAUACACACACAUUCUAAUAUAUGUUAAUAUUUAUUAUAUAAAAACAAAAUAAAUUCCAAUUCCUCAUCUAGAUAUGCAGUAUAUAUGGGCAACACACAUAAAUAUGUUCACAUAACUACAUGAAUGUAUAUAUCUGUGCAUGUGUAUAUGUG